This 129-nucleotide non-coding RNA is filed under the name Olea europaea subsp. europaea. Lineage: Eukaryota; Viridiplantae; Streptophyta; Magnoliopsida; Lamiales; Oleaceae. The record is from RNAcentral.
AGGAGCCGUAUGAGGUGAAAAUCUCAUGUACAGUUGUGUAGAGUGGCAAUAAGAAUGACUUAUCUGUCAAUUUUUUUUAUUCCAAUUCCAAGAGUUUGGAUCGAAUCGGUAUAUCAAUACCGAUUUGAU